UUUACACGAUGUUGAUAAAGACGACAUUGUGUCCGCCUGUAAGACAUAUUACGAGACGGUACGCAGGAGCUUUAGAUAUACCCAGCCAGAAAACUCAUUGCGGGCGGAAGCUGCGAAGAGUUCAGCUCAGAGUCGAGCGAGAAGAAAGAGGCUGCUGGAAUCGAGACAGAGUGUGCUAGCAGAUGACGAGGUGGAACUCUGGA
Molecule: long non-coding RNA, 203 nt
Organism: Alosa sapidissima (American shad)
Lineage: Eukaryota; Metazoa; Chordata; Actinopteri; Clupeiformes; Clupeidae
Exons: 3
Source: RefSeq, a predicted model, not a curated record